Molecule: ribosomal RNA, 509 nt
Filed under: uncultured Glomus
Lineage: Eukaryota; Fungi; Glomeromycota; Glomeromycetes; Glomerales; Glomeraceae
Description: SSU rRNA
Rfam family: Eukaryotic small subunit ribosomal RNA
Source: RNAcentral
AGCAGCCGCGGUAAUUCCAGCUCCAAUAGCGUAUAUUAAAGUUGUUACAGUUAAAAAGCUCGUAGUUGAAUUUCGGGAUCAAUAUGUCGGUCGUGCCUCCGGUACGUACUGGCAUCAUUGAUUUCUCCCUUCUGACGAACCAUGAUGUCAUUAAUUUGGUGUCAUGGGGAGUCAGAACUGUUACUUUGAAAAAUUAGAGUGUUUAAAGCAGGCUCACGCUUGAAUACAUUAGCAUGGAAUAAUGAAAUAGGACGUUUGACCCUAUUUUGUUGGUUUCUAGGAUCAACGUAAUGAUUAAUAGGGAUAGUUGGGGGCAUUAGUAUUCAAUUGUCAGAGGUGAAAUUCUUGGAUUUAUUGAAGACUAACUACUGCGAAAGCAUUUGCCAAGGAUGUUUUCAUUAAUCAAGAACGAAAGUUAGGGGAUCGAAGACGAUCAGAUACCGUCGUAGUCUUAACCAUAAACUAUGCCGACUAGGGAUCGGAUGAUGUUAAUUUUUAAUGACUCAUUC